UAUUCCCUCUCAGUCUUUGUUUUGCUAGGCUGAACAAGGAAAGCUGUUUUAGUUGUCUUUAAUAAUAUAGGCUUCCCAUUCCCUAGAUCAUCACCCUAGUCAUCAUUGUCCAUACCUGCUGCAGGACACAAUGGGAUCUAAUGAGUGGUUCCACAAUCAAGCCUCCUUCUGCUAUGCACAUGUGGCAUGGCAGAAGGCCCAAUUGUGUGGAUCAUGCAUUUGAUCCCAUUGCACCUUUAUCUGAACAUGUAGAGGGGCCCUGAAAUACAGAAGCUCUCUUUGUACUCUAUUUGAGAGAUGUAUUGCUUUACACCAGCUGGGGAGCUGGCCCAGUUUAAAGAAUGGGUAGGAGUAAGGAAUACAUAUUGUCUACUGCCUAAACAGGAGGUGUGAGAGCUGAAGAAAGUUGGUGUCGUCACUGCCAUUGCCAGUAAUGCCAUACUUCCUAAGGAUAUGUGGAAGAAAGUGCUGAAUCUAAACCAUCAUGCCAGGACUAGCUACUGUUACACUUUGUCAAGAUUGGGUGCAGAGUGUAGAAAGGCACAGGACCCACUUCUGGAUAAUAUCAGCAGCAAGCAUGCAUCUGAAGAUUGAGACACAUCUCUACUACCUGCGAGCAUCCUUUUCUUUACUUAUUCUUCUUCUAUUUUAUAAAACUGUUCUAAGGGGAGAUGGAGGGGUUAUAGCUAGUUCAGAACAAACCUCAGAGUUUGUUUUCAGUUAAGUUAAAAAUGUAAGGGCUGGAUCCUCAGCUGAUAUAAAUCAGAGCUGCUCCAUUGAUUUCAGGGUUCAAGGUUUUAAGGUAAGAGGCUUCAGGAUUUGUUUGUGUGGUCCUGGGCCAGAAAAACCUUGAGCACAUACUGUCUUAUAAUAUCAAAUUUUGUAUUAUAUAGAGAUGCCUUGUGGUGGACUGGCACUAGAACACUUAUCCAGCAAAACAGUGAUCAAAUAACACAACCGUGCUUUUAAGUGUUGCUUUCAGUGAGUCUUUUAAUUGAAUUCUGUUUUAACUAAGGAGACUGUUUAGGUGAAUAAAAGCUACAUUCAGAAAUGUUUGUAGAAUCA
Molecule: long non-coding RNA, 1065 nt
Filed under: Crocodylus porosus (Australian saltwater crocodile)
Lineage: Eukaryota; Metazoa; Chordata; Crocodylia; Crocodylidae
Description: lncRNA (ENSCPRG00005007486.1)
Source: RNAcentral